This is a non-coding RNA of Phascolarctos cinereus (koala), 466 nucleotides long. NCBI's taxonomy places the organism in Eukaryota, Metazoa, Chordata, Mammalia, Diprotodontia, Phascolarctidae. The record is from RefSeq and is a predicted model, not a curated record.
CUUGAAUCCUGUGCCAACACAGUCCCAGAGUGAAAGGAAUGCCAGCAUUCUGCUUGGGAGGCAAACCAGUGCCCCACCCUGCCGGCGCAGGAUCGGAGGUCCCUCUGCCCAGCACCCCACCUUCACAGGAUCAGGAUGAGAGCUCUGGGGUCCAUCUGUGGAGAGCUGAGGUUCACUGCAGGCCAGGAUGGUGUGGGAGCGGCCCCAUUGGGAUGGAUCAUGAUGGUCUCAACACAAGGACAAGGAAGCCGGGGUGAAACGUAGAGGCCCAGGGACAGCUGCCAGGCUGCAGGACACGGAAGUCAUGGUCAGCCCAGGAGGAGGGGAGGAGGAGAAGGUUUCCUCUUCCCUUCCUCCUUUCCGCUCAGUGGAUCCAUCGUCCAGUCACGACACCCCAACCAAACUCUGUCCUGCCCCAUACCUCUUAGAGCUCAGUUAUCCAGCAUGACUAGGGCAUGGGCUGCUU